CCCCUUCUGGUGCGGACCAGGGGAAUCCGACUGUUUAAUUAAAACAAAGCAUCGCGAAGGCCCGCGGCGGGUAUGUUCCUUCUUUACCCAAUUUGAUUUCUGCCCCAUGAUC
Long non-coding RNA from Mustela erminea (ermine), 112 nucleotides. RefSeq lists it as uncharacterized. The transcript has 3 exons. The record is from RefSeq and is a predicted model, not a curated record. NCBI's taxonomy places the organism in Eukaryota, Metazoa, Chordata, Mammalia, Carnivora, Mustelidae.